Molecule: long non-coding RNA, 922 nt
Filed under: Elaeis guineensis (African oil palm)
Lineage: Eukaryota; Viridiplantae; Streptophyta; Magnoliopsida; Arecales; Arecaceae
Description: long non-coding RNA (EGUI_LNC043740)
Source: RNAcentral
GGUGCUGCAGCCUUUUUCGCAAGCUUGCUGUCGAUCGUCCUUUACAAGAAUGGAUUGCAUCAUUACUUGUAUGCCUUUGAAACAUCCACUAGGAUCAUUAUAGGAAUAUUUUCUCGCAAGAACAUACCACAUAAAAAUCAGAUUUGAUGUUCAACACAUAAAUAAUUUGAUUUUAGGACAAGCAUCACAUGCUUUUCUUUUUCUCUUCCCUUCCUUUUCAUUUUUCUCUCCCUCUUUUUCUUAUCUUUAUUCAGAUUUUUUCCAUCAUUUUUCUCUUCAUUUCUACACCUAUUAUCAGCCUAAAUUGGCACGUUGAACCUGGGUGUAGCGCUCCCUUUUUAUAGGAAAGAAGGGGCAACACCAUGGGAUGCCAAGAGUUGGCAUCCCUUAUCUAUUACAUGCCAAAAAUAAAUUUUUAGCAUGAAAUAUAAGGGAAUGGCAUGGAAUAUGAAGUGGUUUACCAGCAGAUGGACUCUUCCUCUGCUAAGAAAAAAUAUAACACCAACUCUUGGCGCAUGGGAAAAGGAAUGGCGUGAGAAACCAAAGAGUCCAUGACAUUAAGGACUCUUCCAUAUCAUCCAAAAUAUAUUGCAUUCCUUAAUGAAUUUUGGCAUGUGAAUUCCUUGCCAGAGAAGGACUCUUCCUUCUCUUCUGCAUCCAUAAUCCUAAGAGCCAUCUCAUGACAUAAGGAAUUAAGAAAUGCAUGGAAUAAAUGGUAUAGAAUUUAAGAGGAGUGGAAGAGGACUCCUCCUCUUAACGCCAUUUAUUUUUGGGCGUGCCAUUAAUUUUGUGCAUGUGGAGUUGGCGUGGAGGAGGUUAAUCUGAUAUGAAACACUUUCAUAAAAAUCAGAUCAGCCACCUGUUUAAUUAUAGGUUCAAACCCAAUCAUAUUAGGUCAAGACUAUAAGUCAAAGGUUAGCNN